AUGAAUUAUGAGUUUAAUAGAUCCUCUUUAGCAGAAAGACGUAUAUUCCUUGCUCAAUAUCAGACAAUCACUUAUUCCCAAACCUCGUGUGGGACUAAUCGUUUUCAUUUACCAUCUCAUGGAAAACCCUUUUCGUUCCGCUUAGCCCUAUCGGGUAUUUUAGUGAUAGGUUCUGUAGGAACUGGACGAUCCUAUUUGGCCAAAUACCUAAUGAAAAAUUACGAUUUUCCUUUCAUUACGGUACGAGGGCUUCUUAUUCCACAAGAACGAAAGCACCUUUUCAUUCUUUCAUAUAUUAGGGGGUUUUUACUUGGAAAAGACAAUGUUCCAUACUAA
This 336-nucleotide ribosomal RNA is filed under the name Triticum aestivum (bread wheat). RNAcentral's name for it is "partial small subunit ribosomal RNA". The record is from RNAcentral. Lineage: Eukaryota; Viridiplantae; Streptophyta; Magnoliopsida; Poales; Poaceae.